CUUUUCUGACGGCACCUGAACGCGGACGUAUUCUUUGCCGUUGUGAGGAAGUGUUUCGGGAGAAAGAGAGUCAUUCUACACAACCUCGAGUACUGUACCUGGCUAACGUAGCUGUUAGCAUUCCGUACCGCCGGGAUUUUGCCGACCGUAUAAUAUCGUCGGAGUAUCGUUCAACAUUCUUCUGGCCGGGUCUUUUGUGGAGUUCUAAUUGAGGACAGCGCUGGGAUUAGCGUGCCUUCAGUGGAGUUGAUUCCAUUACGGUGCCCUGACGUCCAAAAGUGCUGGAAAGUGGGUACAGUGGUGGUGGCGAGCCAACCAAAAAACAUGCAGUAUAUUACAUUUGAUAAAUUUUAAUUAAUUUUAUUUGUGUUGGUGAUGUUUAGAAGAAUUUAUUUUGUACGACAGGAGUUGACAAGAACAUUUUGUUUAGUUAUUUCAUUCGGAUUGAAAGAAAAAAAAGGAGACUCACACUGGUGUUGAGAAAGGUGAUCACCAAUUAUUUUGCUUGAGGGAAAGGUCAACUAAGAGGUUGAGACUAAAUUGGAUUUAUUUACUUUCUUUUUUCACUGUGGUCGUGAUAAUAAUUUUGUUGUCCUGUGUUUAUGUUUGAUACAAAAGUUAAUUGUUUUUACAACCGUUGUCUUGUUUCUUUACCCAUGCCACCCCCUCAAUGGUGACAUCAUUGGCUCCAGUGAAUCGAAUCUAGUGUCCCCUUACUGGUCCAAGUAGAAACCCGUUGUCUGCCCAUAGUGUUUUAUCAUCUCCAGCAAUUAUAAAACAGACGUAGCCCUUGUUACACCGGGCUGGGGCCAGGGGCUUUGAUGGGGGGCACAUUCAACCCAGGGCUAAAAAGACAGAUUUGAAAUCUUAUUUGACUUUUUAUUUCUUCAAACUUUGAAAUUGUAGUCAUAACAUUACAGUGAUGAGAAAAAAACAGUAUUAGGAGGUCUAAAAUGUCUGCAAGCGUAACAAUACACCGUGUCCAUCUGUUGAGAAUAUUCAAGCCAGGGGAUGAUAUGGUACCAGCCUGCCGGAGACAAAAAUUGUAAAUACACUGAAGCUUUUACAUGCAUAUAAUUAUCCAAAUUUUAAAAGGCAAUGUCUUAUAUAUUGAUCCUGUUAAAUAAAAUAAAAAGGGAGACUAAAAAAGUUACAGUUUCUCUGCGGACUGUUUCUCAUUUUCCCGCUCAUUAUUAAGUGGCGCAGCGGACUAAAGGGUCCGACUAGAAUGUUAAAUCAUGCACUUUGGUUCCACCUUUCGUGUCAGCGACUCGGCGCGACUGCGCUCUCGGGGUCAGAAUCAGUGCUACAGGGGCACUGGCCCCCAUCCUUAGACCGGCAGCCUCUUCACUUCCAAUAGAGCCGCUCCCAUCGGUUGAAUUUUGCGAUAGAUCAGGAAACUGCUCACACCAAACGGCAGCAUACCUGUUAUCGGAAGGCCGAAAAGGUAGAUGUCAUCCACAUCCUCAACGGACAGUGUUGACAGGCACACCAUUCUCCGCUUCCUCCAAGGAUCUAGGGUGUGCCCAGCAGCAAAAGUCCCCGAGGGGCAAGUGGGCUCCCCACUGGCUGUUCUAAUCAUCAAGAAAAUGUUGUCGAUGGCAUCGAGAGACCAGCCAACCAAUUCCAUGUUUGUUUUUAGGAUGAAAAUAUGAUAGGAGGCUAGGAAAAGUCGGACAAAGACAGCACAUGGACUGAGUGGCGAGCAGGGAAGGGUGGGGGACAGGAGCAGAAAGCAAAAGCGUCCGCCUUCGUCGAGAGACAAGCAAGAGUGGUAAUCCUGUAAUUUGUAAUGUCUAACGAAUAAAUACAAGGACAUUUGGCCAGACUGACUUACUGUGAGCUGUCCUGAGCCUCAGUGUUGUGUGGUUAGCCACUGUGGAGUUGCUCAUACACGCAAGGUCGACAUUUCAUAAAAGUUAGUGAGUCAAAAAAUCUCUUACUAGGUGUACUUGAGUACAUGUGAGGAAAUAAAGUCAUAAACUAACUUCACUACGUUGAACAAGAAGACAUGUACAGUAUGUGUAUUUAUGAUACCACAAAAGUGAAACUCGGGUAUUAUUUUUGUCACCUGGUGUUGUAAUUCAUUCAAACUACAACUAAAGCUUAAAAAAAAAAAAAAAAAAAAGGCGCUCAUGGGAGUCUGCUUUGAGUCACCGCUCUCUUCUAUGAAAGUAUGUCUUCCCUGAUCUGUCACGUGUAGCGUUCGCUGUGGUGGAGCACAUGUCAAAAAGCAAGUAGACCCAAAAGCAAACAAGUAGCCAAGACAAGAGGGCAAAGUGCAGUAUUCUCAAAAUGGAUUUAUUACCCCCCCCCCCCCCAAAAAAAAGAGCAAAUGAAGGUACUUGGUGGUCAGAAAAAGAAAAAAAGCCCCCCAAAAAACGAAGCAAAACCAACAACCACAGAAACCCACUACCACAGACACGGUGACAGGCCACUCAAAGCGACAAUGUGACAAUGAGCAGACAAAGAGUGAACAGAAACGGAACUUAACAGGCUACACAUAGACUGACAAGGCACACCCGGACAAGACACAAAUGGCUGGACACAGCUGAAUGAGCAUGACAAGGUUUAGCAGAAAUGACAAGACCAAGUGGUGACAAAGACAUAGGGCCCGAGUUUUGUGCCCAGACUAAAUCUACCGCAGUAACCGUGUGGAUGGAUGGAGUUUUCUUUUUUGGGGUAUUUUCCUAGACGGGUGCAAAGAGAAGCGGGCGUUUGCGCCCUAGCGGCUCAUUGUGGGAGAGAACGCAGUUGUCUUGUUUACCAUCCAAUGAAAGUGGUUCCCUUCAUUCCCUAUAAAUUCAGCACAGAAAUGGACGUGGUCUCCUUGGCUUACAGCUGCACGAGAUGGACGUUUGCAUAAUAAUUUUCAAAUGAACUGCACAAUCAUACCUUUAGGAUGAUGUAAAGUUGGCCCCUGUGGAGUCGCUUCCUAUUUCGAUCAUUGGUUCGUGUUUGAGCUCAGACCCUGCCUGGACUGCCUGCCUCUCGAUCAGUCCACCAAAAUCUCGUUACAACACCUGUGCCAUAACUUGGACUUGAUUUUAGCGGGUUUAAAUUUUAAUCUACUUUCUGACACAAUUGUUAGGUUUGCAAUUGCAGCACUAACUGAUGUUGCACAAACAGUUUAAUUCUUUACAUUGUAUUAAAUUGUGUUAUUACUCUUUGUUUUUCUUCAUGGGUUCUAUUCUCCUUUUUAAAAAUCCUUUUUGGAGGUUGGAAUGGUUUAAUGGCAUUUUUAUUCAUUUUAUAUUUUAUAUAUUUUGGAGCAAAAUAUGUUGAGAGGGAAGAAAUUUCAUCUGUGCUGUAUGUUACGCAUACAGUACAUUUGGCAAUAAAGUUUAUCCAAUCCAAAUCCAAUCCAGAAUGAUUUGAGAUGGCAUUUUAAGUACAAGCAGAAUUAUUUAAAUAUGUAGCUCAAGGCACCACUGCAAUCCGAAACCCGAUCAAAACCCCAAACCAAAAGAAAAUCAUAUACACAUAUUCAUCAGCUUAUUAGAAGAUUUAAAACGCUCGAUGCUCACAGAGUAUGGAUUCCCUUUCUUUCUAAGGCUAUUUCAUUUGCUUGUACAAAUCGCAUGAGCAUGUUUGCAUUUGAUUCCACUCCAACAGAGGAAAUAGUUACCAUGCUGCAGCGUUUGCUAAAGGCCCGCUCAAUUGGGGUCUUUCUGGAAAAUAAGUAAUGCCUGUAAAAUGUGUUGUGCAGUUAAAAAAAAAAGAUAUAAAAAAACCAUUUGUUAGGAGUCUUUUGUUUAGUAUAAGAUGACACGACACAGACUUGCUUGCUCAAAAGUACAGGUGUCUGUAAUGGAUUGCUUUGAAAAGAUGGUCAGUGAAAAUACUUAGUCUGUUUUACCCAAUUAUACUGUGGCUGUAUGUAAUCUGUCCAUGGUGGAGAAGUUUUCACCCUUUUUCCCUGACUUAGUUUUUGUUUUGUGACACGCUAAACCAGGGGUGCCCAUUAGGUAGAUCCUUAUCUACCGGUAGAUCUAAAACAGUUCCCAAGUAGAUCCGAGGAGUGUCGAGGAGAAAAAAAACAAAACAACCAUUUGUGUGUCUUUGUACAUGUUAGUAAUAUAUUUUUUUGUGUUAAUGUAUGCUGCACCCUAAUCAUCCUAUCAGUCUCAUUUUCACCCCAAAAAAAUUUAAAAAUAAAAUAAAGCCGGUAAAUCUUGAAAUUACGGUGGCGCGUGAUUACGUCACCGUAAGUUGUUAGCGCUCAGCAGUCUGCAAUUGCAGCUUGUGAUCAGAGCUGUUGCGCUCUAUCUUUUAUCGUCAUUAUUCUCAUUCAGAGUUUGCUUCGUGUACAAUUCACCAAGGGCACGGGCAAAGAAUAGGAAUCUAGGAGGGCCCAGGGAAGCACUUUAAAAUGGUACGUGUGAGCUACGAUAGUUAACAGGCUGCAAAAGUGCAUCGCAUGCCUCAGUUUCAGGCUGUUUCGCAUCGUGGCGUGUGUGUGUGCGCGCGCGUGCUGAUAAUGGUAGAUCUCGGGAGGUCAGUUGAUCGAAAAGUAGAUCUUCGGUCCAAAAAGUGUGGGCACCCCUGCUCUAAACCAUUUGCACAACCCCAGCGUGUGAGCUAUGAUAUUUUUCAACCAUGAAUAUCAAUGUGAUCAGACUUUCCCGCUUUUUUUCUUGAUGUUUGUUUAUGAUGGUUAUCCAUAAUUACAAUGAGCUUACCCUACUUCAAACAUUGUGUCAAGGUCCCACAAGGAGUUUGGGAAAUAAUAUAGUCGAGUUGAGUUUUGCCUGGUACCUCUGUGUAAAUUUACAGUCACCAUUUUGUGCAAACUUCUAUCCGUAUCCAUUUUCUAUUUCUUAUCCUAUAAUGGGUGUCAGGAAACUGGAACCUAUCCCAGAUAAGUGUUGGCAAAAUACCAGGCGAAACUCCUUUGCUCGCUUGUCGAUUGCUGGGCACAUCCACGAGGUAUCUACUUCUAAUUUUGAUUUGAUUUAGUGGCAGUACCGAGUGAGUUUAAUGUUUCUCACCAUUACAUGUGUUUCCUUCUCGGGUGGUUUGUUUAUUAGUGUCAGGAUGAUGGACAGUUGCCCUGCCAUCCCAAAGCGGUGUUUGGUUUUAAAGGCCCUGUCAGUAUGCCAGCCUCUUAUGCGGACAUCCCUUUGAAGUCCAUAUCUGGUGUACCGGGU
Long non-coding RNA from Hippocampus zosterae (dwarf seahorse), 5150 nucleotides. RefSeq lists it as uncharacterized. The transcript is spliced from 3 exons. NCBI's taxonomy places the organism in Eukaryota, Metazoa, Chordata, Actinopteri, Syngnathiformes, Syngnathidae. The record is from RefSeq and is a predicted model, not a curated record.